Molecule: long non-coding RNA, 682 nt
Organism: Hyla sarda
Lineage: Eukaryota; Metazoa; Chordata; Amphibia; Anura; Hylidae
Exons: 4
Source: RefSeq, a predicted model, not a curated record
CUCCUUUACACAGGUUUUGAUAAAACUCACUCAUGGUACCUCUAUCCCAGUUACUGUGAAUCCUGGUGUCUUCGGAGAGUUGAUAGGCCUCCAUACACAUGAAAUGGUCGUCAGACCCUGGCAAAAGUUUUUAGAAGGAAAUGGGCAGCACUGACUGAAAUGUAGGGUGGUGCAUGCUGGAACAACUCGGUCGAAAGUCCAAUAAAUCCAAUAAAGAAAGAGUGCUGCUGAUUACUUUACUGUAUCUAUCUAUCUAUCUGUUCAUCUAUUCUGUGUUUUGGCUACCUGAUGCAUACGACACAUCAAAAAAGUUAUAACAGAGAACACACUGCAAUAUCCUAGGAAGCUGCACCAAAUAACAAACCCAUCUUUGCUACAUCUGUACAAAUACCGUACAUAAGCACAAUCUGAAAUCCAUGGGUAAGAAAACCACCCUUUAUGAAUAAAACAUAGCUGACCUUUAAAAACUUUGCCGUUGUACCAGGUGAUUGCAUAUUAACAAGCUUUUUGAAGAAAUAGGACAGGAACGGGGAAUUUCAGUUAAAUUCAGAUAAUAGUACUAUUGAAGUCAUUUAUUAUUCCGCACAAUAAAGAGGAUGUAACAAGUGCUACAACAAGCGUCCAUUCAAAUUCACUUGCAUAUGAUUUUGAGAAAAAGUCCCAGUUAUAUUCCUAAAGUGAC